This 436-nucleotide unclassified non-coding RNA is filed under the name Hevea brasiliensis (rubber tree). Lineage: Eukaryota; Viridiplantae; Streptophyta; Magnoliopsida; Malpighiales; Euphorbiaceae. The record is from RNAcentral.
GCGUCCUGCACGGACGCGGCCCUUCCCAGCUCAACUCGGGCCGGAGCCUAGCAAGGAUUCUGAUCGAUGCCUGACGACGUCUUCAUUGCAAUCAGCGGCGAAGCUCUCCAUUCCAAAUCCAAAGUUUACGUGAGCCGCGCACUAGCGAGAAAAAGCCUCGGGGAUCUCGACGAAUACCAACUAUGGGCUUCCCUGGCGCUCGAGCUGCUCGGAAAAGCUGCGCUCGCUCGCAAGCAUCCUAGCCUCAUCGUCGAUCCCACACACUGGCAGUCGAUGUUCGUCGCCGCCGGCAUCAACGUGACAACUGACGUCAAGACGAUCACCGCGAAGACACUAUUCGAACGCCUAGCUCACCUUGUGCCGCGGUUCGAUAAAACGAUUCAGAAAUUCUGCGAAGGCAUUGCGGAACGUCGCAACGCUGAGCUUCAUUCCGCCG